CGCCUCUUGAAUAAGUAUAAGAGGUCCCGCCUGCCCAGUGACCCCAGUUCAACGGCCGCGGUAUCCUAACCGCGCGAAGGUAGCGUAAUCACUUGUUCUUUAAAUUAGGACUAGUAUGAACGGCGCCACGAGGGUUAUACUGUCUCCUUUUUCUAAUCAGUGAAACUAAUCUCCCCGUGAAGAAGCGGGGAUACAACUAUAAGACGAGAAGACCCUAUGGAGCUUAAAAUUUUAUUUCAACUGCCGCACCCAUAAAAGUUCCGACUACCCAUAAUUUACUUAGCAUUCUGAUUAUAAAUUUUUAGGUUGGGGCGACCAUGGAGAAUAAAAAAACCUCCACAUUGAAUAUAGGCCUCUUAGCCUUGAGCCAAGAGCUACGACUCGAUGUACUAAAACAUUAACAUCCAUUGACCCAAUUAUUUGAUCAACGAACCAAGUUACCCUAGGGAUAACAGCGCAAUCCACUUUAAGAGCCCCUAUCGACAAGUGGGUUUACGACCUCGAUGUUGGAUCAGGGUAUCCCAGUGGU
This 529-nucleotide ribosomal RNA is filed under the name Scinax perpusillus (Bandeirantes snouted treefrog). RNAcentral's name for it is "partial 16S ribosomal RNA". It matches the Rfam family "Bacterial large subunit ribosomal RNA", at positions 1832 to 2554 of the family's 2925-position model. The record is from RNAcentral. Lineage: Eukaryota; Metazoa; Chordata; Amphibia; Anura; Hylidae.